GACUUCUACAGUCCCACAAUUUCCUAAAGUGCUUUCGGCCUCUGCUCUUCUUUUGACAGAAGCAGUAUCACUUCUGCUGGACCCAUCUGUUUUUUCUUGAUCUACCCUUUUCCACCUGCAAAAAGAAAAGUUGCCCAGUCAGUGCUCUGCAAACAGGCAGGUUUCUCUCAGGUCAAAGUGAGUGCACAGACAUUCGGAUGGAGUGUUG
Chiroxiphia lanceolata (lance-tailed manakin) is the source of this 208-nucleotide long non-coding RNA. RefSeq lists it as uncharacterized. The record is from RefSeq and is a predicted model, not a curated record. Lineage: Eukaryota; Metazoa; Chordata; Aves; Passeriformes; Pipridae. The transcript has 3 exons.